This 692-nucleotide ribosomal RNA is filed under the name Ruegeria sp. I 8.10. RNAcentral describes it as "bacterial SSU rRNA". It matches the Rfam family "Bacterial small subunit ribosomal RNA", at positions 159 to 885 of the family's 1533-position model. The record is from RNAcentral. Lineage: Bacteria; Pseudomonadati; Pseudomonadota; Alphaproteobacteria; Rhodobacterales; Roseobacteraceae.
GAGAGUAAUACCGUAUGAGCCCUUCGGGGGAAAGAUUUAUCGCCAAAGGAUUGGCCCGCGUUAGAUUAAGAUAGUUGGUGGGGUAAUGGCCUACCAAGCCUACGAUCUAUAGCUGGUUUUAGAGGAUGAUCAGCAACACUGGGACUGAGACACGGCCCAGACUCCUACGGGAGGCAGCAGUGGGGAAUCUUGGACAAUGGGGGCAACCCUGAUCCAGCCAUGCCGCGUGAGUGAUGAAGGCCUUAGGGUCGUAAAGCUCUUUCGCCUGUGAAGAUAAUGACGGUAGCAGGUAAAGAAACCCCGGCUAACUCCGUGCCAGCAGCCGCGGUAAUACGGAGGGGGUUAGCGUUGUUCGGAAUUACUGGGCGUAAAGCGCACGUAGGCGGACUGGAAAGUUGGGGGUGAAAUCCCAGGGCUCAACCCUGGAACUGCCUCCAAAACUAUCAGUCUAGAGUUCGAGAGAGGUGAGUGGAAUUCCGAGUGUAGAGGUGAAAUUCGUAGAUAUUCGGAGGAACACCAGUGGCGAAGGCGGCUCACUGGCUCGAUACUGACGCUGAGGUGCGAAAGUGUGGGGAGCAAACAGGAUUAGAUACCCUGGUAGUCCACACCGUANACGAUGAAUGCCAGUCGUCGGGUAGCAUGCUAUUCGGUGACACACCUAACGGAUUAAGCAUUCCGCCUGGGGAGUACGG